CAGUAGCGGCGAGCGAACGGGGAGGAGCCCAGAGCCUGAAUCAGCAUGUGUGUUAGUGGAAGCGUCUGGAAAGGCGCGCGAUACAGGGUGACAGCCCCGUACACAAAAGCGCAUGUGCUGUGAGCUCGAUGAGUAGGGCGGGACACGUGGUAUCCUGUCUGAAUAUGGGGGGACCAUCCUCCAAGGCUAAAUACUCCUGACUGACCGAUAGUGAACCAGUACCGUGAGGGAAAGGCGAAAAGAACCCCGGCGAGGGGAGUGAAAAAGAACCUGAAACCGU
This 280-nucleotide ribosomal RNA is filed under the name Salmonella enterica subsp. enterica serovar Infantis. RNAcentral describes it as "partial 23S ribosomal RNA". It matches the Rfam family "Bacterial large subunit ribosomal RNA", at positions 241 to 559 of the family's 2925-position model. Lineage: Bacteria; Pseudomonadati; Pseudomonadota; Gammaproteobacteria; Enterobacterales; Enterobacteriaceae. RNAcentral also lists the same sequence under 2 other names. The record is from RNAcentral.